RNAcentral lists this ribosomal RNA (355 nucleotides) under uncultured Pseudomonas sp. RNAcentral describes it as "bacterial SSU rRNA". It matches the Rfam family "Bacterial small subunit ribosomal RNA", at positions 1028 to 1382 of the family's 1533-position model. Lineage: Bacteria; Pseudomonadati; Pseudomonadota; Gammaproteobacteria; Pseudomonadales; Pseudomonadaceae. The record is from RNAcentral.
UCUGACACAGGUGCUGCAUGGCUGUCGUCUAGGCUCGUGUCGUGAGAUGUUGGGUUAAGUCCCGUACGAGCGCAACCCUUGUCCUUAGUUACCAGCACGUUAUGGUGGGCACUCUAAGGAGACUGCCGGUGACAACCGGAGGAAGGUGGGGAUGACGUCAAGUCAUCAUGGCCCUUACGGCCUGGGCUACACACGUACUACAAUGGUCGGUACAAAGGGUUGCCAAGCCGCGAGGUGGAGCUGAUCCCAUAAAACCGAUCGUAGUCCGGAUCGCAGUCUGCAACUCGACUGCGUGAAGUCGGAAUCGCUAGUAAUCGUGAAUCAGAAUGUCACGGUGAAUACGUUCCCGGGCCUU